GAAGCUCUCCCCUCCCCGCAG
RNAcentral lists this microRNA (21 nucleotides) under Homo sapiens (human). RNAcentral's name for it is "hsa-miR-6796-3p". The record is from miRBase by way of RNAcentral. Lineage: Eukaryota; Metazoa; Chordata; Mammalia; Primates; Hominidae.